This 253-nucleotide ribosomal RNA is filed under the name uncultured bacterium. Its description in RNAcentral is "partial 16S ribosomal RNA". It matches the Rfam family "Bacterial small subunit ribosomal RNA", at positions 524 to 776 of the family's 1533-position model. The record is from RNAcentral.
UACGGGGGGGGCAAGCGUUGUUCGGAAUUACUGGGCGUAAAGGGCUCGUAGGCGGUCAAGUAAGUCGGACGUGAAAUCCCUCAGCUUAACUGGGGAACUGCGUCCGAUACUGGAUGGCUUGGAUUUGGGAGAGGGAUGCGGAAUUCCAGGUGUAGCGGUGAAAUGCGUAGAUAUCUGGAGGAACACCGAUGGCGAAGGCGGCAUCCUGGACCAAUAUUGACGCUGAGGAGCGAAAGCUAGGGGAGCAAACGGG